GGAGCAGCAACGAUGUUACGCAGCAGGGCAGUCGCCCUAAAACAAAGUUAACCUCUGAGGAAGAAUUGUGAA
Molecule: small RNA, 72 nt
Filed under: Escherichia coli
Lineage: Bacteria; Pseudomonadati; Pseudomonadota; Gammaproteobacteria; Enterobacterales; Enterobacteriaceae
Also listed under: 1 other name
Description: AAC_AAD_leader
Rfam family: putative aminoglycoside riboswitch / attI site
About the family: Conserved RNA structure found upstream of the bacterial aminoglycosides antibiotic-resistant genes: aminoglycoside acetyl transferase (AAC) and aminoglycoside adenyl transferase (AAD). It has putative short open reading frame (ORF) that encode leader peptide upstream of the resistance gene. 75 nucleotide long sequence from the first ribosome binding site (SD1) up to the coding sequence was shown to have the regulatory role, and it was considered the minima functional RNA.
Source: RNAcentral